AAGGCAGAACAACAUGACUGAAGGCGAUGAGGAACAGCUGAUCACCUGUGGAAGUCAUUUGUCCUAAAUUGUCAUGGACAGACCAUGUGCCUUACAGCAAGAAAAUUCUGUGAAUAAACAGGAAGCCAGCCAGCCAGGGAAGAUGCUUUUGUGAUAUAUCCCAGCAUGCUGAUGACCCCAAGGAGGACCACUGGAUACCUAGCAAGGAGCUGGCUGCAGCAUACCAUGAAUCCUCACAGCAACUUAAUGAGAUUCUCCCAUUGAGAAGCAUUUCUGUGAGCUCUGGAAGUCAGGUGAAAAGGAGAAGUCAUAAUCUAUGGCAGCAGCUAUGGGAAGGAAAAAGAAGAACUGAUUGAAGAGUGGCAACCAGAACCUCUUGUUCCUCCUGUCCCAAAAGACCAUCCUGCUCUCAACUACAACAUCGUUUCAGGCUUUUUAGUGCACCAUUCAUAAAUAUGAACAGUAUCCAGUAAAUACCAAACAUUUGAAGAAAGGGUCUACAAUAGAAGAGAGAUCAAAACAAAUGAAUAGAACAAAGGAACUUAGAAGAAA
RNAcentral lists this long non-coding RNA (552 nucleotides) under Homo sapiens (human). Its description in RNAcentral is "novel transcript". Lineage: Eukaryota; Metazoa; Chordata; Mammalia; Primates; Hominidae. The record is from RNAcentral.